This 2220-nucleotide ribosomal RNA is filed under the name human gut metagenome. RNAcentral's name for it is "bacterial LSU rRNA". It matches the Rfam family "Bacterial large subunit ribosomal RNA", at positions 237 to 2479 of the family's 2925-position model. The record is from RNAcentral.
CCGAAAGUAGUGGCGAGCGAAAUCGGAGUAGCCCAAACCGAAUGUAGUAAUAUAUUCGGGGUAAGGACCGCGAGAUAGCAUCAGGAAGAGUAGUCGAAUUACCUGGAAAGGUAAGACAAAGAGGGUGAAAUCCCCGUAGACGAAACUCAGAGAGAGCGAGCGGGAUCCAGAGUACGUCAGGACACGAGAAAUCCGGACGGAAGAAAUGGGGACCAUCCCAGAAGGCUAAAUACGACCAUGUGACCGAUAGCGAAUAGUACCGUGAGGGAAAGGUGAAAAGAACCCCGGGAGGGGAGUGAAAAAGAACCUGAAACCGUAAGCUUACAAGCAGACAGAGCGCCAUAGGAGUGUGAUGUCGUACUUUUUGUAGAACGGGCCGGCGAGUUACGAUGUGAUGCGAGGUUAAGUGUCAAAGACACGGAGCCGAAGCGAAAGCGAAUCUGAAGAGGGUGAGAAGUAUCAUGUCGUAGACCCGAAACCGAAUGACCUAACCAUGAGCAGGUUGAAGCAAUGGUAAAACGUUGUGGAGGACCGAACCACACGCCUGUUGAAAUAGUCGGUGAUGACUUGUGGUUAGCGGAGAAAUUCCAAACGAAUUCGGAUAUAGCUGGUUCUCCUCGAAAUAGCUUUAGGGCUAGCCUCGCAUAUAAUCCUUGUCGGUAGAGCACUAAAUGGCCUAGGGGGCUUCACAGCCUACCGAAGCUUAUUAAACUCCGAAUGGCAAGGAAUUGAGUGCGGGAGUCAGACAGCGACAGCUAAGUGCCGUUGUCAAAAGGGAAACAGCCCAGAUCUACAGCUAAGGUCCCAAAGUCAGGUUAAGUGGAAAAGGAUGUGACAAUGCAUAGACAACCAGGAUGUUGGCUCAGAAGCAGCCACGCAUUAAAAGAGUGCGUAAUAGCUCACUGGUCGAGUGGUGUUGCGCCGAAAAUUAACGGGGCUCAAACCUGACACCGAAGCUUAGGAAUACGCGAAGCGUAUUGGUAGAGGAGCAAUGUAUAUGCGCAGAAGCCGUACCGGAAGGAGCGGUGGAGUGUAUAGAAGAGAGAAUGCCGGCAUAAGUAGCGAGAGCGGAGCGAGAAACUCCGCCGUCGAAAGUCUGAGGUUUUCCGGGGAAGGUUCGUCCGCCCGGAGUAAGUCGGGACCUAAGCGGAGGCCGAAAGGCGUACGUGAUGGACAACAGGUUGAUAAUCCUGUACUACCGAGAGAGCUAAUGAAGCAGUGACACGGAAAGAUAGAAGAAGCGCGCAGAUGGAAAAGCGCGUCCAAGCAGUGAGGGAGGCUUGUAGUAAAGUACGCAAGUCAUAAUCCUGGGCUGUGACGGGGAGUGGACCAAGGAAACGAAGUCUUUGAAUCUACGCCGGCGAGAAAAGCUGCUAAAUGUUUCGAGGUACCCGUACCGCAAACCGACACAGGUAGACGAGAAGAAAAUUCUAAGACGAACGGGAGAACCCUUGUUAAGGAACUCGGCAAAAUGACCCCGUAACUUCGGGAGAAGGGGAGCCACAGAGAUGUGGCCGCAGUGAAGAGGCCCAAGCGACUGUUUAUCAAAAACACAGGUUUCUGCUAAGGCGUAAGCCAAGGUAUAGGAGCUGACUCCUGCCCAGUGCCGGAAGGUCAAGGGGAUCCGUCAGCGCAAGCGAAGCGGUGAACUUAAGCCCCGGUGAACGGCGGCCGUAACUAUAACGGUCCUAAGGUAGCGAAAUUCCUUGUCGGGUAAGUUCCGACCCGCACGAAUGGAGUAACGAUUUGGGCACUGUCUCAACAGGGGGCCCGGCGAAAUUGUAGUAUACGUGAAGAUGCGUAUUAACCCGCGACCGGACGGAAAGACCCCGUAGAGCUUUACUGUAACUUGAUAUUGAAUCUCGGCAAUUGAUGCACAGAAUAGGUGGGAGACGAAGAAGCAUGUGUUUCGGCAUGUGUGGAGUCAACUUUGGGAUACCACUCUUCGAUUGCUGCGAUUCUAACCGGGACCGUUGAAGCACGGCUCGGGACAUUGUCAGGUGGGCAGUUUGACUGGGGCGGUCGCCUCCUAAAGUGUAACGGAGGCGCCCAAAGGUUCCCUCAGAAUGGUUGGAAAUCAUUCGGCGAGUGUAAAGGCAAAAGGGAGCUUAACUGUGAGACAGACAUGUCGAACAGAUGCGAAAGCAGGGCUUAGUGAUCAGGUGGUAUGAGAAUGGAAUUGCCAUCGCUUAACGGAUAAAAGUUACCUCGGGGAUAACA